This 1058-nucleotide long non-coding RNA is filed under the name Arabidopsis lyrata. RNAcentral's name for it is "long non-coding RNA (ALYR_LNC001275)". Lineage: Eukaryota; Viridiplantae; Streptophyta; Magnoliopsida; Brassicales; Brassicaceae. The record is from RNAcentral.
AUGUCAAACGGCGAUGAUCGACGCAAAGAUAACCAAAACGAUUGGCAUGCUAAUUUUUUAAUCAGCUGUUUACUAAAAUCAGUUAUAAACUCGAAGAGUACCAUCAUGCCAUGCGGAAAGUUGAAGGUAACUAGCAGUUGGUUAAUUAGUCGUCGGGAAGCCCAUCCCAAUUGCUACAACAUAACACUUUAGUUACCAAUAAACGAUUCCAUCGAAUGAACCUGUCAUAAAAAUUAUCAAAAACGUUCUACACAUUAUCGAUAGAUUGAAGAUUUGUUGAUAAUCGAUUAGUGAUUCUUUUUCUUUUCUUUUGAUAAAGAUCGACUAGUAAUUCUUUAGAAAAAUAUAUUGACAAAUAACUCAUAUUGAUGAACCACUGCUGCUGUCAGAAAAUAUUGUUGGUAAGUCACAUGAUAAUUACUAAUAACAUGUAUCCAUCACCCAUUGGUGAUUACUGCUGAAAUCGUAAACAUGACCAAAUUAAUUAUUAUAUGUGGAUGAGUUCAACUUACUUUUUUGAAUGAUUACGUCUUCAACUUGCUUACUUGAUAUUCUAACCGAUUUACCUCUAGCUUACACAUCAUUCGUUGAUAAUGCAUGUGACGUGAUCUAUAUAAGCUUAGACACAAAUAACAAGAAUUUAUUCAAAUUUGAAUCUAUUAAGAAACCAAUAAUUUCUUCAAACGUUAGAUAUUCGAUCUUGUAAUUUCAAACCAAUGAAGCUUCUAUUUGUUUGUUUGUUUUAAUUAUUGCACCUUCAGCAAUAAUGACCUUAUACCAACUAACCAACCAGAGCCAGAUCAACCAAUUCUAGGACCUAUUAUAAUUUUCCCAAAAUAACAAUAUUUGUGUUUUUUCUUCUGUAAUAGAAUUUUUUCAGAAAAAUGUGAGAAUCCCAUUGUAUUGUUUUAUGUUAAUGUGCUCAACCAACCCCAUAUGUAACCCACUAGAUUAUAAAUCGAUAAUUGAUGUGUCGAAGGAAGGACCGUAGGAAAUAUAGAAGGUUCUUUCUUAUUUGCUCAUAAAUACAGAACAUUUAUACACAAUCGUCAUACGGC